GAGGAAGAAAGGAAGGAAGGAAGGAAGGAAGGAAGAAAGAAAGAAAGAAAGAAAGAAAGAAAGAAAGAAAGAAAGAAAGAAAGAAAGAAAGAAAGAAAGAAAGAAAGAAAGAAAGAAAGAAAGAAAGAAAGAAAGAAAGAAAGAAAGAAAGAAAGAAAGAAAGAAAGAAAGGAAGGAAGGAAGGAAGGAAGGAAGGAAGGAAGGUGAGGAAGGAAGGAAGGUGAGGAAGGAAGGAAGGAAGGAAGAAAGGAAGAAAGAAAGAAAGAAAGAAAGAAAGAAAGAAAGAAAGAAAGAAAGAAAGAAAGAAAGAAAGAAAGAAAGAAAGAAAGAAAGAAAGAAAGAAAGAAAGAAAGAAAGAAAGAAAGAAAGAAUAUUGGGAUUCUGCUGAAAUACUGUAAUAAUUGGCCAUUGC
Molecule: long non-coding RNA, 412 nt
Filed under: Monodelphis domestica (gray short-tailed opossum)
Lineage: Eukaryota; Metazoa; Chordata; Mammalia; Didelphimorphia; Didelphidae
Description: lncRNA (ENSMODG00000036562.1)
Source: RNAcentral